RNAcentral lists this unclassified non-coding RNA (377 nucleotides) under uncultured Actinomycetes bacterium. RNAcentral describes it as "uncultured actinobacterium contains 16S-23S intergenic spacer region". The record is from RNAcentral. Lineage: Bacteria; Bacillati; Actinomycetota; Actinomycetes.
UCCGAGUCGACCCCGGCAGUCUCCCAUGAGUCCCCGGCAUUACCCGCUGGCAACAUGGAACGAGGGUUGCGCUCGUUGCGGGACUUAACCCAACAUCUCACGACACGAGCUGACGACAACCAUGCACCACCUGUGCAAGGCCCUUGCGGACCUGAUAUCUCUACCAGAUUUCCCUGCAUGUCAAGCCUAGGUAAGGUUCUUCGCGUCGCCUCGAAUUAAGCAACAUGCUCCGCCGCUUGUGCGGGCCCCCGUCAAUUCCUUUGAGUUUUAGCCUUGCGGCCGUACUCCCCAGGCGGGGCGCUUAAUGCGUUAGCUACGGCACGGAGGCCGUGGAAGGACCCCCACACCUAGCGCCCAACGUUUACGGCGUGGACUAC